This 406-nucleotide ribosomal RNA is filed under the name uncultured Lysobacteraceae bacterium. RNAcentral describes it as "bacterial SSU rRNA". It matches the Rfam family "Bacterial small subunit ribosomal RNA", at positions 356 to 774 of the family's 1533-position model. The record is from RNAcentral. Lineage: Bacteria; Pseudomonadati; Pseudomonadota; Gammaproteobacteria; Lysobacterales; Lysobacteraceae.
GGGGAAUAUUGCACAAUGGGCGAAAGCCUGAUGCAGCGACGCCGCGUGAGGGAUGACGGCCUUCGGGUUGUAAACCUCUUUCAGCAGGGAAGAAGCGAAAGUGACGUUACCGACAGAAUAAGCACCGGCUAACUUCGUGCCAGCAGCCGCGGUAAUACGAAGGGUGCAAGCGUUACUCGGAAUUACUGGGCGUAAAGCGUGCGUAGGUGGUGGUUUAAGUCCGUUGUGAAAGCCCUGGGCUCAACCUGGGAACUGCAGUGGAUACUGGAUCACUAGAGUGUGGCAGAGGGUAGUGGAAUUCCCGGUGUAGCAGUGAAAUGCGUAGAGAUCGGGAGGAACAUCAGUGGCGAAGGCGACUGCCUGGGCCAACACUGACACUGAGGCACGAAAGCGUGGGGAGCAAACA